RNAcentral lists this ribosomal RNA (518 nucleotides) under Aequabiliella palatina. Its description in RNAcentral is "partial 28S large subunit ribosomal RNA". It matches the Rfam family "Eukaryotic large subunit ribosomal RNA", at positions 88 to 613 of the family's 3401-position model. The record is from RNAcentral. Lineage: Eukaryota; Fungi; Ascomycota; Eurotiomycetes; Phaeomoniellales; Phaeomoniellaceae.
GGCGAGUGAAGCGGCAAUAGCUCAAAUUUGAAAUCUGGCUCUUUCAGGGUCCGAGUUGUAAUUUGUAGAGGAUGUUUCGGACAAGGCUUCGGUUUAAAUUCCUUGGAACAGGAUGUCAUAGAGGGUGAGAGUCCCGUCUUGAACCGUCUGCUGCGUCUAUGUGAAACUCCUUCGACGAGUCGAGUUGUUUGGGAAUGCAGCUCAAAAUGGGAGGUAAAUUUCUUCUAAAGCUAAAUAUUGGCCAGAGACCGAUAGCGCACAAGUAGAGUGAUCGAAAGAUGAAAAGCACUUUGAAAAGAGAGUUAAACAGUAUGUGAAAUUGUUGAAAGGGAAGCGGUUGCAACCAGACUUGUGUGUAACAGUUCAACCUUGGUUUUCCAAGGCCUAUUCUGUUAUACCAGGCCAGCAUCGGUUCGGGUGGUUAGUUAAAGGCAUCGGGAAUGUAUCUACCCCUCGGGGUCGACUUAUAGCCCUUUGUGUAAUGUGACCUACCUGGACCGAGGCACGCGCAUUUGCUC